Molecule: non-coding RNA, 1842 nt
Organism: Danio rerio (zebrafish)
Lineage: Eukaryota; Metazoa; Chordata; Actinopteri; Cypriniformes; Danionidae
Source: RefSeq, a predicted model, not a curated record
GUCUGUUCAGUUCCAGGGGUCAGCCAGGGUCGUCGCUCAGACUUUGUCUUGCUGAAGGACUCAUAUAUUUUCCCCUAUAACGCCAGCAUCUGCGAUCACGCCAGGUGGAGUAAGAGUUUCCCUACAGAUGCAUCGAUCGGCAGAUACAGAAACCAGCUCUGCUCAAUUGAAUAUAAUUUUGGAGCAGAUUUCAGCUGUGUUGGAAACUAGCUGCUCCUCAAAGAGGCAAAAAGCACUGAUCGGGGCACCUAUGUGUUUAUCUGUAAUGAGGCAGAAAGUCAACUUAAACUCAAUGUCUUGUAUGCUCUGAAGGUGGACAAAGUGGAGACAGAAGACGUCACUUUAGACUGUACUGCGCUCAGUGACAAAGACGUGACGUGGCUCUUCAAUAACGGGACAGCUCUCCAUUAUGAAAAGGGUGGAGUAAUAACCCCUGGGAAAGGCUUCGAGGGCAGAGUUUCAGUGGAGAAGGAUUGCUUCAGGACCGGCAAUUUCUCCCUGACAAUCACUGACCUCCACAGCACAGAUGAGGGGGUUUACCGCUGUUUUGUAGACCAGGACACCACUGAAGGAUACCCGCACACGUACAAGCUGCAUGUCAACAAGAAACAGGACCAGACAGACUCCACCGGGACUGAAGCAUCUGAUUAUAAGACCAUCAUCAUCAUCAUCAUUUUGGCUCUUAUCGUGGUCAUCUUGAUCAUCGGCAUUUCAGUUUUGGGGAUUCUCUAUCACAAAGCAUGCAGUCAGAUUCAGAAGAGUGUACCAGAUAAUACACAAACUUCUGAAACUGAACACAUGCCUCUAUAUGACAACACAACACCAGCCAAUAACAUUGCUCCAUUAAUAGAGCUUUCUGUUCAGGAGAGCAACACAAUGAAACCUGACAGCAGCGUUAAGACAUUUUACACUGCAGGAUGAACCCUGUAAAAUGUCUGCCCUUCAAAAUCCAGCAUUACACCCUAUGAUUAGCUUCCUGAAAAAGUGAAUUUUAUUAUUAUGCUAAUUUUUAUAAGAAUUUAUUUGUUAUUUUUAUGAGAAAUGGGACCUUGUUUACAUCCCCAUGACAGUAAAUCUACAUUACCACAGCCAGCAUUCAGCUACAAAUAUAGCUCACAUGAGCAUUCAAUAGAGAAGGGGUGGGGGAACAAUACAGCAUACAGCGCAGUAAUAAUUUAAUUCACUAGAUGGCGGUACAGUUUAGAGGUUCAAGCAAAUAGUUCAACCUAAAAUAAAAAUUACCCAAUAAUAAUAACAUUUGUGGGUUAAGUAUUCAAUUAAAGAUAAAAGGGAUACACCUGCAGCUAUUGGGCAUGAUGCACACAUCAAUACAGCACAAGAUUGAGCCAUUGCACAACAAUAACUACUGUUUUUGCAUUACUGUAGGAGUAGGUUUAGGGUUGGGGUUGGUAAAGCACAAUGAAUCUUAUUCAUUUAUUAUUUUCCUUCAGCUUAGUCUAUUUAUCAGUGGUCACCACAGCGGAAUGAACUGCCAACUAUUCCAGCACAUGUUUUACACAGCAGAUGGCCCCACAGUGAACAAAGUCCUGCCCUCUUCUAAUAGCCAAUCACGAUUCUUUAUAGCCACACGUUCAUUUGGGGAAGCAAAACUACAUCUUCCUGUUAAAACUCUGGACCAGUAUUGUAUUUCUUUCACCAGUGAAAGCUCUUAAAGGUGUCAGCCUUCUGUUCUAUUAUUAUUUGCCAAUGUGUUAUUGUGUAUAUAUUUGCAUUAAUGUGCAUCAAAUUCAACGUACGAAUGUGCUUUAAUUUACGCAGAAAGCUUUGCGUGCAAUUUUCUGAUGCAAUAUUACUUGUGUGAAAGUAAACUCUAAAAACGUG